GUACCGUCCAAACGUUAUUCGGAAUUACUGGGCUUAAAGGGUAUGUAGGCGGCGCUGUUAGUCGGGUGUGAAAUCCCUCGGCUCAACCGAGGAAUUGCGCCCGAUACUGCAGUGCUUGAGGGAGACAGAGGUAAGCGGAACUGAUGGUGGAGCGGUGAAAUGCGUUGAUAUCAUCAGGAACACCGGUGGCGAAAGCGGCUUACUGGGUCUCUUCUGACGCUGAGAUACGAAAGCCAGGGGAGCGAAGGGGAUUAGAUACCCCCGUAGUCCUGGCCGUAAACGUUGAGCACUUGAUCGAGGGCCCCCCCAUAGGCUCUCGGUCGUAGCGAAAGUGUUAAGUGCUCCGCCUGGGGAGUAUGGUCGCAAGG
This 368-nucleotide ribosomal RNA is filed under the name uncultured bacterium. Its description in RNAcentral is "bacterial SSU rRNA". It matches the Rfam family "Bacterial small subunit ribosomal RNA", at positions 527 to 893 of the family's 1533-position model. The record is from RNAcentral.